Ipomoea triloba (trilobed morning glory) is the source of this 1829-nucleotide RNA transcript. RefSeq lists it as uncharacterized. NCBI's taxonomy places the organism in Eukaryota, Viridiplantae, Streptophyta, Magnoliopsida, Solanales, Convolvulaceae. The record is from RefSeq and is a predicted model, not a curated record. The transcript is spliced from 6 exons.
CUAAUACCCUUUACGACUUUACCCAUUUCCCCUAAAAUGCCUAAAUCUUAAACUCUAAUUUCCCCUUCCCAAAUUACAAUUGCAAUUUGCAAACUCAGAAGAGUACCUCGAGACGAGAGAUCAGAGUCGGUCGUCUCCUUCGCAACUCCUCCACUCCAGUAGUCCAGUCGGCAGUCUCCAGACUCCAGAUGGCGGAAAUCUCAGAAUUCAAAUAUGCUUAUUUCAUUUCCGGAGUAGAAAUAAUUCGGAUUAAAAUCCCUAUGACAUCUAAUAGUUUUAAACACGAAGUCGAGCUUGUGUUCUCUAAUCCAUCUCAACCUCUUCCAGGAGGUAUGGGACUCUUUAGCCACAAUCACAUUGUAUAUAUGGUUGGGGGCUACUUUUUCAAAAGGGAGGUGUGCGUGGACAGACCUAAGGUUGUGGAUGUGGAUGGACUUCAAUAUUUCGAUCUUGUUUAUAUGUUUGAUCCAACCAAGUUUGAAGAAAUUCCGCUUGAAAAUAUUAAACCACUUCAGAACUUAAACUGUGAUUGCAUGAUGUAUCCUAACGUCAUUCGAGCUGAGGAUCGGAUUUACCUGUUGUCACUGCCUGAUUAUUUUGGUCAUAAUUUUGACAUGAUCGGACACGCCUUCCAUUUUCAAUACUUUGAUCCAAACAAGAAUUUGUUUAAAACCCUGCCACCCCCACCCGUCCUACGUGAUUAUAAUUUAAUGAACAUGGUUAGUCUUGAUGCACGGUGUCAUUUUUUCCUUAGAGGUUAUAUAUAUGUGUUUAUUACAGACGCCAAGACUUGUUUUCAAACAUUUAAGUUCAACACCAUAAAUUCAGAUUCAGAAUGGGAGGAUUGCAAGUCCAUGGUGGACAAAUUUAAAGAGAAAAAUAUUCCUUUUCCCUUCUUACAUGUUGGCGAUAUGGGGAUUUCGAAUGAAUUGGUUGAUAACACUUGGAUUCUAGUCGCCCUUAAUGGUGGUGCUCUGCCCAUUGCAUAUAAUGUUCACCUUAGUGACAAGGGUGAUAUUGAUCCUAUAUCUCAUAGGGUUCUGGCUGAACUUCAUACUUCGGAUGUUCAUAAGUAUGGCAGAGAAAAUGAUUGGAAACAAUUAGCUGAUAUGGGAGGUGGUAGGUUUUGUGUGAUGUGCUGUGCUUUAGAUGAAGAUUUUUUGAUAUACGGCUUCGAAAUUGAUUUUGAACUUGAAUGGACCAUUCAAAGUGAUAAAACUAAAGUGAGUUCGUCAUCUAUUAUUUUCAAAAUGGAAUUCAAUCAUAAUUACCCCAUCCCUUUGAAGGGUCAACUUACCGGUUUCUGUAUAGCCUCUGCUCCUCCUCCUCUUGCAUCUCCCGACAAUGAAGACCAAGACAAGAAUGAAGACCAAGACAAGAAUGAUAGGAAGAGUAAGAGAAAAAGGGGGAGUAGAUUGUUUGUAUAUUUAUUUCCAUCUCUGCUCCUCCUCCUCCUCCGGCGUCGCUAAAAGGUGAUUUUAUUAAAUAAGCCAGGUGAAAGUGAAGCCCCUAAAAUCGUACAUGAGUGGAAGUUUAGCACCGACAGGUAAAGAAAAAAAGGAGCCAAAAAUAAAUGGUGAGCUACUGCAAAGGCCUUCCGAAGCAAGAGCGUCUGCAACCUGGUUAGCCUCUCGGUAGAUAUGCGUUAAGGCACGGGAGCUGGUUCAGGGGAAUCAUUACUUUAGAAAAUUGAACUCGGAUUCUCUCGAAAUUCUUUCCACCAAAAGGGCUCACUUGCCACUCGAGUUACCCGAUUGGAUUAUAUAAUUUGUUAACUGAUUAAAAAAAUGUCAAUCUUAAUAUGACAAGGUCUUUUUUGGCCAUUUACA